GGUGGGGAGUUUGACUGGGGCGGUCGCCUCCGAAAGGGUAUCGGAGGCGCUCAAAGGUUCCCUCAGAAUGGUUGGAAACCAUUCGAAGAGUGCAAAGGCAGAAGGGAGCUUGACUGCGACACCGACGGGUGGAGCAGGUACGAAAGUAGGACUUAGUGAUCCGGUGGUAUAAAGUGGGAUUGCCAUCGCUCAACGGAUAAAAGCUACCCUGGGGAUAACAGGCUUAUCUCCCCCAAGAGUUCACAUCGACGGAGUGGUUUGGCACCUCGAUGUCGGC
RNAcentral lists this ribosomal RNA (277 nucleotides) under Pseudomonas aeruginosa. Its description in RNAcentral is "partial 23S ribosomal RNA". It matches the Rfam family "Bacterial large subunit ribosomal RNA", at positions 2260 to 2536 of the family's 2925-position model. Lineage: Bacteria; Pseudomonadati; Pseudomonadota; Gammaproteobacteria; Pseudomonadales; Pseudomonadaceae. The record is from RNAcentral.